CAUUGUUUUUGCAAUAUUUACGUCAAUAGCUCAUUUUGGGGGCAAAUUUUCAUUUGUAAGCCAACGGGAUGUCGGUUGUUGGCUUUUGAUUUCCUUGAGUUAGCUAUCGUAUUUGCAUGGAGCCUAAUAUGUUUUACAGUUGUAAUAGUACUUUACCUCUAAGGAGGUGGAAUUUCUCUGAGUUUCUGUAUUUCUUUCUCUCUUUUUUUGGUUACAAGGGGUGCCUAAAAGGCACAGCAAAAAGGAAAAAAGAAACCAAAUGAUAAAGCAAUUGCCGGUUCUUCUGGCCUUAGAAUCAGAACUCAAAUCAUCUAGGAAAGCCUGGGCAGCAUGAGCAGGAGGAUUAUCGAAGCAGACCAAACCAAGCUCAUGAGAAAUGCACUUUAUGUAUUUCUUUCUGUUUGGAAGAUUUAUCCUCUCAAUUGCUUCUGUGAAUUUUCUUUUGGUAAAGGUGCGUUGACUAAAUUUAGUGUAACAUUUUAUUCUUUUCUUAUUAUUAUCUAAAACUAUGUAAUUUAGAUCACCAUAUUUUAUCAUUGAAGUUGCAUGCAGGUCACUGAUUUUUUAUUUAACAAAUGCAAUCACAAUCUUGAAGGUUUCAAUCCUUUGUGUUAGAUCAAGGUGAGUUUGUGAGAAAGAAUAUAUGGAGUAAGUAUUUAAAAUUUCUUAUGGAAUUGCUAAAAUACUUUACUUAUUAAUUUUAGCAUCUAAAAUUGGUGUUGUCCUUCAUGAUUCCUAGGAUUGCUCAGGUGAAGAGUGUUACUGGCAGCUAGAUAUGGUGUGUUAUUCUUGGGGUAUCAGAAAGUUUUUUAUUGGGUUUUUAAAUAUUCCCUUAAAUGUAAUUCGUGUUUGUAUACUCAGGUUGGUACUUUUGGGGAAGCUGUGUAGCUCAAGCAAAGACUAGAGCUUGGACAGAUUGGUGACAAGGGUGCAGUAAAGAUGAGUAUUGUUAGAACUCUGUUGUAUUUUUUUAUCUGAUUUAAGUUCCAAUUUUGCUUUUAUAAAGUAUGCAUAAGUCUAAUAGAGACUUCAAUUAGAUAUAAGUAUUGAUGUGAGCUCAAUUAGUUUAUUAUAUUGAUAGUAAUGAAUUGAGGUUCUCCAUUUUUCAGAUGUAGGUGAUUUUUUUUUUCCGCUGUGAAUAUAUUGCCUGCCUUUUUAUUUUGGUUUUGAAUAGGGAGGGUUUUAUUAGAGAGACAUAGAGAAAGGAACAUUAGGGAGGGAGUGCAGAAUCAAAAAUGGCUCUAGAGACGGUGGAGGGUGGCGGACUAAUCAUACUGUUGCUUUGGUCUUUGACCUCACUCACCAACUUAUACACCAUGGUAUGGUAUGAAUCUAUUCUUCUACUGCUACGGCUCUCAGAGACACUAUAGUUAAGCGUAGCGAUGUACUAUUUAGCCUUGUAAUUUUCUUUUUAUUUGAAAAAUUUACUUGUUAACUGUUGUAGCACUGCGGUGCUAUACAUUCAAUAUUUAUGUCAUAGCUGCUCUUCACAGCAGUUUUCAAGUGAAAAAUUUCUGUAGUACUCAUAUGCAAGCUUCUUGAUUUCAGGAUGUCCAUGACAGGUUUCGAACCGAAUCUCAUUCCCAGGCUACAGGCUGUUUUAAUGAGUGUUUCUUAUUAUCACUUGCAUCGUGCAAAGCAUGUGUGGUUAUGGAUGAUGAACUGAAUAUUCUACCAAUUUCAUCUCACAUAAGGUCAAUUACCCCAGUUUCAGUUAAAGAGGUAACUUUGUUUUUGGUAGAACAUGUUUUGUGAUAUGCAAAAUUGCAAGCUAAAAUUAUUUAAUUUGUCUGUAAUGUGCAUGUUCAAUGUGCUUUAUUUAUUCACCGUUCUUAUUGGGGUAGCUUGUAGGAGAAAGUUUAUUUAAUUUGUCUGUAAUGUGCUUGUUAUGAUGAAGCUUUAAUAACUGAUUUGUUAUUCUGGAUCAACAGGACUCUGAAGGGAUAUCAGAGUCAGAAAGGGAAUUGAAGGAUCUAAAAGAACAACUAAGUGAUGCCUGCCCUGUCGGCCCUUUAAUAAAGAAAUGUUGCACGCUUGACCAGGUAUACAUCUCUUGUCUGACUGUUACCUGUAAUCUUUGAACAGGGUAAUGCUGUUGCUACAUUUCUAGAUGCAAUAUUGGAUAAGGCACUCCGUACUGUUGCCUUGCGUGCUGCUUGUGGCCGUGGGAAGUCAGCUGCACUUUGCUAUUGCUGCAGAGUAAUUGCAGGGUAUUGAAAUUGUUUGAAUCUUAAAACAUACAAAUGCAUGCAACAAAUUUCAUCUUGGAAGCUGAUUAUUGUUGGAUAUUUAUACGUUUGCAGGUAUUCAAAUAUCUUUGUAAUUGCACUGAACCCCGAGAACUUAAAGACCUUGUUCGAAUUUGUUUACAAGGGUUUGGAUGCAUUGGAUUAUAAGGUGAAGUAUCUCUCUAUUCCCAUGGGUGGCAAAGAUAGGCAAAUGAUUGUCAGAGACAGGGGCAAGGUUGGAUUCAUAAAAGAUUUCUUGGGAGGGCCGAACAUCCACUUGUACUUUAAGAUGACCAAUAUUUUAAAACAGAAGUAAAUAAUUACACUGAAUGCGUUCAGGGAAUUUAAUGUACCACCAUAUGCCUUUUCAACCAUCAACAUAAAAGAAACUGCUGUUUUAUUGGUACACCGGCUUUCAAAGUACUUUAAAUUUAUUUCUCAACCAAAUGAAAGUUCUCACGUCAUUUCUUAUAAAAUACUUGUUCUGCUGUUUCUUACUGAUGGAUUUUCAGAAACACUAAUUAAUAUUGAGCGAUGACUGAUGUAUAUUUUUUUUCUCUUCCCCGAUCUUGCAUGUGUUAGUUGUCUUCAGAAUGAAUGAAGGGGUUCUCAUUUUGCAUGCACGGAUCAAGAGCCUUAUCAUUAACAGACCAAUUCCGGUAUUGGUUUUUUAUUUGAGGAAACCAAUUGGUAAGUCCAUAAGUGUUUUUCAUCUCAGCCCUCCAUUUGCAUUCUCUAAUCUGGGCCAUUGGUUCUAGGUAUAUUGGGUAAAAACCCUAACCUCUCUUCCUUAGCUGUUUUCUAUCGCGAGAGAGACCUGUCCACAGAGAGAGGGAGAGCGACGCCACCCAGCUCAGGGCUCCUCCGCCGCCGUCGGACCAGCACUGGACGAUCGGCGACCGUCGUUCAACUUGCCUCUCUCUUCUUUACUUCCUCCUGCCCACCGAUUCGUUAUACAACCAUCAUAGAGGGAGAUCGAACCAGCUGAAGCAAGACUGUUCGUUGUUUUCCGACGGCGACGGCGACAGCAACAGCGAGGGGUAGGGUUCUUCUCCUCCCGUUUUCUUCGAUUCCAUGUCUUUAAUCUUUUGAUUCGUAAACCCUUUCUUCUGUUUUUGGGUUUUCACGGCGUAUCUCCAGCGACCGAGUUCUUGACAUUUCCGGCCUCUCCUCCAUGUUCCGACGAGCAAGGUUACUUCUUGACGGACCCAGCGGCCGAGUGGAGGAGGUGGUUGGAGUUUGGUAGCAGAUGGAAUUUUUCUGGUCGGGACAGUAAGAGGCAGAGGGCUGCAGGUCGAUCUCUGGCAAGGAGAGGUUGCUGGGUUCUAGUGGUGAGCUGAUUGGAGGUAAGGAUUACGUUUUGAUCGGCUGUGUUGCAGUUAUUGAGUUUAGUUGUGGCUGAAAUCGUUGUUGUGGGUGUUGUUUGUCAAGAACUUGGUGUUUUGAAGAAUACGAGGAGGUCAUGGCCAAUUUCCAGCAAGUGGCCGGAAUCCGGCAAUCGAUUCCGGCGAAGGAGCAGUUUUUCCGGCAGUAGCCGAUGAGGUAGUUUUCGAGGACUUUCUUUCUAAUUCGAACUGUAGUUCCGAAAAGGGGAAAAUUCAAUAGGGAAGGUAGUUCUGCGUUUUCGGGUUACAGGUAUAAUUAUUGAUAUGUUUUCUUUCAAAGCAAGUGUUUAAUUCUUGACCAAAAAAAAAAAAGCAAGUGUUUAAUUAGAAUUACGUUGGGGUUUAUAAGGUGUAUUUGAUCCAAUCGUUAUUGUACUAAAGCAUGUUGCUUUUCAAUUUUUGGUGGGUUUUUGUGGGUUCAGAUUAUAUAUGGCGUUGAUAGUGCAAUGUGCAUUGGUUAUAAAUUGGGUGUUUGUUUUCGAAAGUUUGUGAAUAUAAAAAGCUGGUCUUAAAUUGGUUUAUGGAGUUGAUCUUCUAUAGCCAUUGAUGAUAGGAACUGCACUGGUUAGCCUAUAUAGGUGAUCAGAUGUUGAUGAUAUACUGAUUUUUGUAAACUUUUCUCUAGAAAUGUAGAGAGGAGAUGAGAUUUGUGUAUAACGUGCUUUAUUAUCAAAUGAUGUGGAAUGUCCUUUUGCAAUUUUAAGUUGGGAAUGAGUGUUUGCUAUGCAUCAUCGUGGUGUUGUAUCUCUCUGUUUACCUACUUUUAGUGGUGUGUGUACACAGUUCUUGAUCUGUAUCUAUGCCUGAAACAGAGCAAUCACAUAGUGGCACUCAAAGUCCUCUUCAAGAACCAGUUGCAACAAUCUCAGGUUGAGCAUCAGCUUCGCCCGGAAGUUGAAAUACAAAGUCAUCUUUGCCAUCCCAAUAUUCUACGUCUUUAUGGCUACUUUUAUGAUCAGGUAUAGUGCUCAUAGGUGGUUUAUGUUUGCACCACAUUGAACGUCUCCUAGUUAAUGGAACCACGAUGGUACGAGUCACUCACCCGCAGUGGAAUUUUGAUUAUUGCAAAAACGAGUUUAUUUGAUAUUGGAAUAUGCCGGCAAAGGUGAACUAUACAAGGAACUCCUAAAGUGUAAAUACUUUAGUGAAAGACGUGCAGCCACGGUAAGUUUUUGUGUGGUGACGAAUUCAUUCUCUUUCAGUUGUUUAUAGAAUAGAAAUUCUUAAGUUUUUUUUCGUAUGAGGUAUUUGCAGUAUGUUGCAUCAUUGGCCCGAGCACUUAAUUCAUCUAGAUAUCAAACCAGAAAACCUUCUCAUUGGUCAACAGGUGCUGAAUACCUUACUAUGCUGUUAUAUGUUUCCUUUUUAUUACUUAUUGAUGCAUACUUGUUGCUUAUCAUGUCAAUGUGGAUUUCUAAUGUCAGGGUGAACUCAAGAUAGCAGAUUUGGGGUGGUCAGUGCAUACAUUCAAUCACAGUCGAACCAUGUGUGGCACCCUUGAUUACCCGACUCCUGAGAUGGGUAUGUUAAAAGACAAGAAAUAGUGUUUUGAAAACAAGUGAUUUUAUGUGCUCUAAUGUCUCUGUAUUUCUUAUCCUUUUCUUUUGGUUCUAUCCAUUUUUUUUUCAUUUUUGGUGUAAAGCCGAUGAGAUAUCUUUGAGUGAGAAUCUAUGGAGGAUUUGUUAAACAUGUGCCUGGUUGAUUUUGGGCGGGAUCCAAUUUGUUAGGUUUUAAGGUGUAUUCUUGAUGUUGUUAUGCUUGACUUUAUUGGCUUUUGUGUUUGCAUUUGAAUUUUUAUUGUGUUUUCAUUUGAAUUUUUUUUGGUGGCAUGAAAUUUGGUGUUUGAAUGCAAAGAGUGCAAUAUAAAUUUUCCCCAAGACGGAUUCGUGGGACUAUAGAUUUGGGAAGUUUCCCAAUCCUCUGCUCAGAUCGAAUAGAUAAGUUGAGUGCUUUUGAAUUUUCAAAUUUUUUCAUUCCGUUUUUGUGUGGUUUUUAUACUGUUUGAGAUUGAGCUUAUCAUUUCAAGAUGGAUAACCGUUCCCAUUACCUGAUUUGAGCUGAUUCGGCGUGUUCUGCUGUCUACGACCUCAAUGAUCGAUUCCAGUAUAUAGCUGGCCGAUUUCAUUUUCAUUUUUUAUCAGGUAAAGUUACUACAGUUUACAUGCAAUAUACUCAAAUAAAGAAAACUGUGUUUCUUUCUUUUUGAGUUUCAAUCUGAUUUUCGUUUCUUUCUUCUUUUUGCUACCGAGUACCGCCGAAUACUAAUUGGAGAGAUAACUGGACCAGGCUGGAAACAAAAGUUGGUGAAGGUAAGUACUAGCUCAAUUGCUUUGAUCUUCAGCAGUCACUAUCUUUUCAAACGUAGGCAUUGUUAUGCUAUUGUUUUUAAUGCUUUUACCUGGCUAAUUAUCUUUUUAACUUAAAUAGGUUCUAUUAAACUUUUCAAGUCUGUAGAUUUAAAUGAAAGUUUGCAAGGCUGGGAGAAAACUAUAGUUCAUUUUUUUUUGUCUCUUAAAAAAACAAUGCCUACACUUAGCUGAAUAAAUACUAGACAUUUAAUCUUCACAAGUGCAUUUUCCUAAUUAUGAUCAUGAAAAAAUAUAUAUUGCUUUGAUUAUGAGCUAAACAGUUUCAUUUCUGCACGACAACGGUUAAACAUACAAAGACAAGCACUCUCGAAGAUUGAGCUCGACUAUGGCUACUAAUGUUUUGAACAAAUAUGACGUUGACAUGAUUUUUUGAACCAUUAGGAGUGAAUCAAUUGUAAAAGACAUGCUCAAUGAUAUAGUAAAUGAUAAACUGAUUGCAAGGUUGGUGCGUUUAAACAUAGCGGGUUUUGGACUUCUGCAUUUCAAUUUGAAAUUAAUUAUGAUUUUUUGUUUGUGUUUUGGUCAUCUUCCUGUCUCUGUUUUAAAAAAAGCUUGGGUCUGAGUUCGGGAUUCAAUAAUGUUUCAUGUCCGUAUGUUGUCUACUGCAUCAAAGUGACCUGCGUACCAUCAAUCACGUGCUAAACGUGUAAAAACUCUAAACAAAUAUAUAUCUUUCUUACCAUUGUUUUUGCAAUAUUUACGUCAAUAGCUUAUUUUGGGGGCAAAUUUUCAUUUGUAAGCCAACGGGAUGUCAAUUGUUGGCUUUUGAUUUCCUUAACAUACCUAUCGUAUUUGCAUGGAGCCUAAUAUGUUUUACAGUUGUAAUAGUACUUUACUUCUGAGGAGGUGGAAUUUCUCUGAGUUUCUGUAUUUCUUUCUCUCUGUUUUUGGUUACAAGGGGUGCCUAAAAGGCACAGCAAAAAGGAAAAAAGAAACCAAAUGCUAAACCGGUUCUUGUGGCCUUAGAAACAGAACUCAAAUCAUCCAGGAAAGCCUGGGCAGCAUGAGCAAGGAGGAUUAUCGAAGCAGACCAAACCAAGCUCAUGAGAAAUGCACUUUAUGUAUUUCUUUCUGUCUGGAAG
Molecule: long non-coding RNA, 7064 nt
Filed under: Fragaria vesca (wild strawberry)
Lineage: Eukaryota; Viridiplantae; Streptophyta; Magnoliopsida; Rosales; Rosaceae
Description: long non-coding RNA (FVES_LNC001577)
Source: RNAcentral